This 372-nucleotide ribosomal RNA is filed under the name uncultured organism. RNAcentral describes it as "partial 16S ribosomal RNA". It matches the Rfam family "Bacterial small subunit ribosomal RNA", at positions 527 to 896 of the family's 1533-position model. The record is from RNAcentral.
GUAGGUGGCAAGCGUUGUCCGGAAUUAUUGGGCGUAAAGCGCGCGCAGGCGGUUCUUUAAGUCUGAUGUGAAAGCCCACGGCUCAACCGUGGAGGGUCAUUGGAAACUGGAGAACUUGAGUACAGAAGAGGAAAGCGGAAUUCCACGUGUAGCGGUGAAAUGCGUAGAGAUGUGGAGGAACACCAGUGGCGAAGGCGGCUUUCUUGUCUGUAACUGACGCUGAGGCGCGAAAGCGUGGGGAGCAAACAGGAUUAGAUACCCUGGUAGUCCACGCCGUAAACGAUGAGUGCUAAGUGUUAGGGGGUUUCCGCCCCCCUUAGUGCUGCAGCUAACGCAUUAAUCACUCCGCCUUGGAGUACGGCCGCAAGGCUG